Molecule: long non-coding RNA, 1980 nt
Organism: Oncorhynchus tshawytscha (Chinook salmon)
Lineage: Eukaryota; Metazoa; Chordata; Actinopteri; Salmoniformes; Salmonidae
Source: Ensembl
CUGAUCAUUCGGGACAGACAGCAUAUCAUUCGGGACAGGCCUGAAGGAGACAGGCAGCAUAUCAUUCGGAAAAGGCCUGAAGGAGACAGACAGCAUAUCAUUCGGGACAGGCCUGAAGGGGAGAGAGACAGCAUAUCAUUCGGGACAGGCCUGAAGGAGACAGACAGCAUAUCAUUCGGGACAGGAGUGUGAAUCAUUAACAAGUGACUGUUGAAACCUCUGGGCCACAUGAUGCAAACCACGUCCAACUAAUCCAGAGCUGUUUGGACAUGUGACACAGAUACCAGCCUGGUUCCACUGUGCCGUUGACUAGAGAUCACUCACUAUACAUUGUGGUAGUUGUGUGAAGUUGGCCUUAGUUUAACCAAGCAAACAGGGUUGUAAAUAAUGUUAAUGUUUAUGCAGGACUAAUUGUUGUCGAUGAUGUGUCUUUUCCCUGUACACUCAGGGCGAGUUUCCCGGACAACAAAUCCUGGACUAAAAAGUCUAAAUCAAUGGAUAAUCUCCAUUUUUGAAAGUCCAAGAUUAUUCUUUGUUCGGGAAACCGUCCCUUGAAGACAAAGUAGGUAGCUACUAGCUAGUUAAUGAGGUAACACUUGACUGGAUGGUUCCACUGUCUGUAGGCCUGAAUAUCAUGGUUAUAAUUACCACAUAAAGGAUAUGACUCAGUAUGUAGACCUAAAGGUUGCGCCUGUAACAACUACCUUUACUCUGUAAUGACACAACAAACCAUUACCCAUCAGGCCCCUCUCCCAGACAUGCAUUUUGCCUCGUCUUGGACUAGAAAGCAAGCUGAAGGGAGAAUCUCCGUUGAAAGAGCUUUUUGGUCCAGGGAAUCUGCUCAUGGUGAUAUAAAUGGGGUGGUUUGCAUAGUUUUCUAAGAUUUAUAAUGUGUAAUGACCGUGAUGAGUCUGUUUCUUUAGCACCGGCAUUGAGGCCUAUGACGACACCCACCUGUUACCAAUAGCCGAAUGUGGAUGUCGUAUAUCCACUAUAGUCCCUAGUCUUUCAGAAGUGGCAUGUUCCACACUACCGUCAAUUCUAUAAUAUAUGGAUAUGUUAACAUAUAUAUAUUUAAUGUAGAUCUGUGUAUGGAUUUAGGCUGACUAAGGCACUUUAAAAAUGAAAACUGUUUGCAUCGGUUUGUUUUCUAGUUAAAAUGUCAGAAAAUGGAUAGUGUGUUAAGACGUCACUAUACUGUACCAUCCUGAAACAUAAACGCAUUAAGAAUGAUCAACCCUUUCUAUUUGCCAUCAGACCCGAUCUACUUGUAUUUAAGAAGGAGAAAGUGGUUUUAUUUCGGUAGCUAGCUGUGAAUUUAAAGUAGAAGAACUAUUGAUGGCACGAGAGAAACAAUCUAUGGCAGUAUUUAGUAACAGAAUCAUCUGUAGCUCAGUGUACCAGGGUCAACUGUGGUCUUAUGACAUCACUUCCUGGUCAGACAAAGUAGCCUAGGUUCAUUGUAAGAUUUAUUAAUAAAAGAAUAGCAGUACCAUCUCUAUGUUCAUGUUCACCUCUCUUCGAUAUGCAGUGUUGUUGUUUACCAUAAUGUCAAGCCUCAAAUCAUUAGGUUUGUUUUUGGUAAACAACAGUCACUUUGACAAGCUAGGAUUCUGUCUCUUUUUAUAAUGUGCUUAAAUGUGUAAAGCAACAAAAUGCAUAAUACACUUACAUAGUUUCUUGAAUGUAGUGCUGGCUAACGAUCCAGGGUUCUUUUUUUUCAGGACUGAUAUAUCAUUGGUUAAGCUCUCACUAUGAACAUUAGGCAUCAGUGAUUGGGUGAAUGGCUGCUCUCACUAAGAACAUUAGACAUCAGUGAUUGGGUGAAUGGCUGCUCUCACUAUGAACAUUAGACAUCAGUGAUUGGGUGAAUGGCUGCUCUCACUAAGAACAUCAAGCAUCAGUGAUUGGGUGAAUGGCUGCUCUCACUAAGAACAUUAGGCAUCAGUGAUUGGGUGAAUGGCUGCUCUCACUAAGAAC